CUGUUCUGGAGCACGCAUGUGUACCUCUGCAUCUUUGCGAUCACCAGAGCCACGAGUUAAGCACAAUCGGGGUGCACACAGGCAAUCUUGGGCAAGCUGAACCCAAUAUAUCUUCUUAUUCAGAACAAGCAGUGGAUUUGUAUGCUGCCCAACACUCAAGGUUGUUUCCAGGAAGUUUACAGUAAAAAAAGAAAGGAAAAAACCCCACCCCAAAUUAAAGAAGAUUCAAGCAGAUGAUUUUGGUUUGGUUCCCUUAUUGGACUAAAAGAGAUCAGAACCAGCUGAAUAUACUGUAUGUAUAUAUAUAUAUAUAUAUAUUUACUGCUCAGCCAAAUCCAAGCAAACCACAAUGUUUAAGGAAACAUGUGAAAACAGCUUAAAGCAAAACAAGGAUACUCAAAAGCACCUUGGAAGGGAUUCCUCAGUUAUUUAUUCAAAUAAUAAUAAUAAUAGUAAUGAUGAUGAUGAUGAUGUCAUCAGGGCACUUGGUACCUUGUCCAAGAAUUUUAUAAGAUACAUCAACAAAUUGCAGCUUCCUGCAAUAACACCAGCAGAACUGCAAAAAACUGAGCUACUUGGAACAUCACACAUCUUAAGAAGGUACUUGGUUGAUACCUAGGACGCUGGCAGCAACCCGUAUCAACCAUUAGCACCAGUCAAUGAUAUUUGUGAUGCCUUUUUGAAUGUUCAGUUGACUUGAGUUUCAUGUUUAAUGAAUAAAAUAAUAAUAAUAAUAACAAUGCUCAAAGUAGUGGACACCUAUAAGUAAAACCCAAAUCUAUCACGAAAACAUAGAUUUAAAAACAACAACUAAACAAUCGUUUGCAAUCAUUUUUAUGAUUAUUUAUUGGGUGUCCAGUGGGACUGAAGACAGUGUAAAUCAGGUCUUUAAUCCUCCUAGCAUCAUUGAACAUAUAUACCUUAGGCCAAGUCUAGAAGGUCCAUGGACUGCUUUGGCCAACAUUCAAGGCAGUGCACAUGUCAUAGAAAGUCAUAAAACAGGACCCCUGAAAAAGGAACAAUAGGUGCCAGAAUCAUUACAUGAACAAGAUUUAUUUGUGUGGGGGGGGGGGCAAAGGAAGCAGGUGCUUCCAUUCAUAUUAACAUUGGCCUAUACAAACCUCCCUACUUUUUGCUGACAAUAAUCUACACAACCUAGGGCAAUUUUUUGAGUGGGAGGAUAUUUCUGUGGUAGAGCAUCCUGUUUGCUUUGCAAAAUAUUCUAAGUUUAAUGCAACAGCGUCUUCAGGUAGAUUUGGAAAAGCUACUUCUGAAACUUUGGAGAGCCAUUGGCGUUCAGAAACUUUGUGUCGCAUGCUAAGCCAAGAUUUUAGUUCAACAGCGCUUUCUUGAAUAAACCUCAGAUGAUGAUCUGGUUAACCCAUAAGCCAUUUGAUUUUACAAAUUGACAGGCAUUGGGCUCACUCAACAGAUCAAGCCUACCAUGAAAAAACAAACAAAAAACCUACUUAGCGCAAUGUGUGAAUCCAGCUGGUGUGCAGUUUGACAUAGCACGGCAGCUUGCUCCAUUUCCUUUCCAAGUUCUGGGUGCAGAAGCUGGCUAGUGCAUCAUGGGAGCUGGGAGGGGACCAGGAAUGGAACGGCUGCUCCCACAGUGAUCCAUGGAAACAAAGAGUGGUUUGAUCACUUGAUGGCAAAAUACAUGAUGACUGACACCAAAGUGGUUGUCUUAAUUCCUUGUGCAAUUGAUGCAUAACCGAGAGAAUGAGUUUGUCUAUAAAGCAGGCAGGAGUGUCUGGUUUUUUUCCCAAUAGCACAAGGCAAAAAGGAACAUUUCAGUAAUAAAGCUAUGAGCAGCCGGUGCAUCAAUCAACAAGUUCCUAGAUUAUUAUUAUUAUUUACUUUAUUCAUGAAACAUGAAACUCAGUCAACUGAACAUUCAAAAAGGCAUCACAAAUACCAUUGACUGGUAUGGUUGAUAUGGGUUGCUGCCAGUGUCCUAGGUAUCAACCAAGUACCUUCUUAAGAUGUACGAUGUUAUAAGUAG
This is a long non-coding RNA of Ahaetulla prasina, 2008 nucleotides long. RefSeq lists it as uncharacterized. Lineage: Eukaryota; Metazoa; Chordata; Lepidosauria; Squamata; Colubridae. The transcript has 3 exons. The record is from RefSeq and is a predicted model, not a curated record.